UACAGAGGUCUCAAGCGUUGUUCGGAUUCAUUGGGCGUAAAGGGUGCGUAGGCGGCGCGGUAAGUCGGGUGUGAAAUCUCGGAGCUUAACUCCGAGACUGCAUUCGAUACUGCCGUGCUUGAGGACUGGAGAGGAGACUGGAAUUUACGGUGUAGCGGUGAAAUGCGUAGAUAUCGAGAGGAACACCGGUGGCGAAGGCGGCAUCCUGGACCAUUACUGACGCUGAGGCGCGAAAGCUAGGGGAGCAAACGGG
RNAcentral lists this ribosomal RNA (253 nucleotides) under uncultured bacterium. Its description in RNAcentral is "partial 16S ribosomal RNA". It matches the Rfam family "Bacterial small subunit ribosomal RNA", at positions 524 to 776 of the family's 1533-position model. The record is from RNAcentral.